Molecule: ribosomal RNA, 253 nt
Filed under: uncultured bacterium
Lineage: Bacteria
Description: partial 16S ribosomal RNA
Rfam family: Bacterial small subunit ribosomal RNA
Source: RNAcentral
UACAGAGGGGGCAAGCGUUGUUCGGAAUUACUGGGCGUAAAGGGCGCGUAGGCGGCCUGCUAAGUCGAACGUGAAAUCCCCGGGCUCAACCCGGGAACUGCGUCCGAUACUGGCAGGCUUGAAUCCGGGAGGGGGAUGUGGAAUUCCAGGUGUAGCGGUGAAAUGCGUAGAUAUCUGGAGGAACACCGGUGGCGAAGGCGGCGUCCUGGACCAACACUGACACUGAGGAGCGAAAGCCAGGGGAGCAAACGGG